This 1493-nucleotide ribosomal RNA is filed under the name metagenome. RNAcentral describes it as "bacterial SSU rRNA". It matches the Rfam family "Bacterial small subunit ribosomal RNA". The record is from RNAcentral.
AGAGUUUGAUCCUGGCUCAGAAUGAACGCUGGCAGCGUGCCUAAAACAUGCAAGUCGUACGAGAAAGUUUCCUUCGGGAAGUAAGUAAAGUGGCGCACGGGUGAGUAACACGUAGGUAACCUACCUUUGAGCGGGGGACAACACCGGGAAACUGGUGCUAAUACCCCAUAAGCUCACGAGAUUAUUUCUAGUGAGAAAAGAUGCCCUAUCCAUGGAAGGUGUCACUCUUAGAUGGGCCUGCGUACCAUUAGCUUGUUGGUGAGGUAACGGCUCACAAAGGCUGAGAUGGUUAGUUGGUCUGAGAGGAUGACCAGCCACACUGGAACUGAGACACGGUCCAGACUCCUACGGGAGGCAGCAGUUAGGAAUAUUGCACAAUGGGGGAAUCCCUGAUGCAGCGACGCUGCGUGAGUGAGGAAGGCCCUCGGGUCGUAAAGCUCUGUCAGGAGGGAAGAAACCGGCAAGCAUCAGAUCCUUGCCCUUGACGGUACCUCCAAAGGAAGCACCGGCUAACUCUGUGCCAGCAGCCGCGGUAAUACAGAGGGUGCGAGCGUUGUUCGGAAUUACUGGGCGUAAAGAGCAUGUAGGCGGUAUUGUUAGUCAGAUGUGAAAGCCCACGGCUCAACCGUGGAAUUGCAUUUGAAACUACAAAACUAGAGUUCGGUAGAGGGAAGCGGAAUUCCCAGUGUAGGAGUGAAAUCCGUAGAUAUUGGGAGGAACACCGGUGGCGAAGGCGGCUUCCUGGACCGAAACUGACGCUGAGAUGCGAAAGCGUGGGUAGCAAACAGGAUUAGAUACCCUGGUAGUCCACGCCGUAAACGAUGGAUACUAGAUGUAGCGGGUAGUUGACCCCUGCUGUGUCGCAGUUAACGCAUUAAGUAUCCCGCCUGGGGAGUACGGUCGCAAGAUUAAAACUCAAAGGAAUUGACGGGGACCCGCACAAGCGGUGGAGCAUGUGGUUUAAUUCGAGGCCACGCGAAGAACCUUACCUGGAUUUGACAUCCUUGGACAACCAUAGAAAUAUGGCCUUUUACUUCGGUAAACCGAGUGACAGGUGCUGCAUGGCUGUCGUCAGCUCGUGUUGUGAGAUGUUGGGUUAAGUCCCGCAACGAGCGCAACCCCUGCCCUCUGUUGCCAGCAUUAAGUUGGGCACUCUGAGGGGACUGCCAGUGAUAAACUGGAGGAAGGUGGGGAUGACGUCAAGUCCUCAUGGCCUUUAUAUCCAGGGCUACACACGUGCUACAAUGGCCGGUACAAAGGGCUGCGAACUUGCGAGAGUAAGCAAAUCCCAGAAAGCCGAUCUCAGUUCGAAUAGGAGUCUGCAACUCGACUCCUUGAAGUUGGAAUCGCUAGUAAUCGUGGAUCAGCAUGCCACGGUGAAUACGUUCCCGGGUCUUGUACACACCGCCCGUCACACCACGAAAGCUGAUUGGACCAGAAGUCAUUAAGCUAACCCUCACGGGAGGCAGAUGCCCAAGGUCUGGUUGGUAAUU